Molecule: long non-coding RNA, 520 nt
Filed under: Manihot esculenta (cassava)
Lineage: Eukaryota; Viridiplantae; Streptophyta; Magnoliopsida; Malpighiales; Euphorbiaceae
Description: long non-coding RNA (MESC_LNC001103)
Source: RNAcentral
UGAUGAUGUUACGGCAUGAUAUGGUAUGGAAGUCCAGGUUGUACCCAUUCUACGUCCCUGGCACGAUGUAAGAGAAAGUCCAGGUUGUACCCAUUCUACGUCCCUGGCACAUUGGUAUGUUAUGAUAUGUUAUGAUAAGAGAAAGACCGGUUGUACCCAUUCUACGUCCCGGCACAGUUGGACUAUGUAGAGGACUAUUGGUGACAAUACCAUCCGAGAUGUGAUUUGUUGUGAUGUGUUGCAUUUCAUGAGAGCAUGAAAUUUUUAUAUAUGAUUUCACUAUUCUACUCACUGGGCUUUGUAGCUCACCCCUCUCCCCUAACCCCAGAUGUGCAGGUACAAGGUAGACCAGGAGGUUAGCCAGAGUUUUGAAGUAUGUUUAUGUAAUAGUUAGAUUGUGGACAUGACAAUUGUACUAUGAUAAAUUGUAAGAUGAUGUAUAACUGAAUAGUUAUGUUAUGUGUAAUGAUAUUGAGGUUUAGAAUUGUGCUUGACUAUAGUUCAUUGUAAUCCCUUGUUG